RNAcentral lists this ribosomal RNA (475 nucleotides) under uncultured bacterium. Its description in RNAcentral is "bacterial SSU rRNA". It matches the Rfam family "Bacterial small subunit ribosomal RNA", at positions 34 to 507 of the family's 1533-position model. The record is from RNAcentral.
CGCUGGCGGCGUGCCUAAACACAUGCAAGUCAACUUGACUGAAGGAGCAAUCUGACAGUAGAGUGGCGCAAGGGUGCGUAACGCGUAAGUAACUUGCCCCAAGGUAAGGAAUAACGUCGAGAAAUCGGCGCUAAUACCUCAUAAUGCAGCGGAUCCGCAUGGAUAUGUUGUUAAAGGUUUACCGCCUUGGGAUAGGCUUGCGUCUGAUUAGCUAGUUGGUGUGGUAACGGCACACCAAGGCUACGAUCAGUAACUGGUCUGAGAGGAUGAUCAGUCACACUGGAACUGAGACACGGUCCAGACUCCUACGGGAGGCAGCAGUGAGGAAUAUUGGGCAAUGCUCGAAAGAGUGACCCAGCAACGCCGCGUGGAGGAUGAAGGUAUUCUAUAUCGUAAACUCCUGUGAGAGCAGACGAAAGACAGAUUAUUAAUCUGGAUGACUGUAUGCUCAGAGGAAGCCCCGGCUAACUACGUG